Long non-coding RNA from Scophthalmus maximus (turbot), 706 nucleotides. RefSeq lists it as uncharacterized. The record is from RefSeq and is a predicted model, not a curated record. The transcript is spliced from 3 exons. NCBI's taxonomy places the organism in Eukaryota, Metazoa, Chordata, Actinopteri, Pleuronectiformes, Scophthalmidae.
GUAGGGGAAAUGUCUCUUUAAAGUUUUUUUUUUUUUUUUUUUUUCCAGUCUAAGUUGUUUCCUCCUCCCUGUGUCUGUUCGCAGAGCCAAUAGUUCCUCACAGCCUCGGUGCGAUUGUUACUGGGCAGACUUCUUCUACACACACACACCUCUCUCUCUCUCUCUCUCUCUCUCUCUCUCUCUCCCUCUCUCUCUCCCUCUCUCUCUCCUCCCUCUGGUCAUUUGUCAGUCUAUCGCCCUGAUGGGUGUCGCUGCAGCUCAAACUGUCCUAUCGUCGUUUGGGUUUGAGUGGCAUCAUCAUCAUCAUCAUCAUCAUCAUCACACAGGCAGCAGCAGCAGCAGCAGCAGGACUGAAGUUUCGCCAUGUUUCUUGUUUCGGGUUCGAGAAAGAAGCUGCAGCGACUCAAAUUAGACUGCCCUGCAGCGGAACAGUGACGCCAGCAGCGACUCCUCUGUGAGGAACGCGAGAGCAGCGAGCCGCGCGUUCUGUCCCCCGGAAGCUUUCAAUUACCAUAUCAGAACAAAAAAUCGGACCCCCCCCCCCCCCCCCCCUACGGGUUAAGAAACGUUAUGACCCUACAAAGUCAAAAGCAGCAGCAGCAGCGAGGAUCGAGCAGAGUGACUCAUCACCAGCACCUUUCACGGUUUAAAUCAACGACCAGAGACGACGAGGAGGGCGACACCCCGGAGGAGAGGGAGGGGGGGG